CGUAGGCGGGUAGGUAAGUCAGUGGUGAAAUCCUGGAGCUCAACUCCAGAACUGCCAUUGAUACUAUCUAUCUUGAAUAUUGUGGAGGUAAGCGGAAUAUGUCAUGUAGCGGUGAAAUGCUUAGAUAUGACAUAGAACACCCAUUGCGAAGGCAGCUUACUACGCAUAUAUUGACGCUGAGGCACGAAAGCGUGGGGAUCAAACAGGAUUAGAUACCCUGGUAGUCCACGCCCUAAACUAUGGAUACUCGACAUAUGCGAUACACUGUAUGUGUCUGAGCGAAAGCAUUAAGUAUCCCACCUGGGAAGUACGUUCGCAAGAAUGAAACUCAAAGGAAUUGGCGGGGGUCCGCACAAGCGGUGGAGUAUGUGGUUUAAUUCGAUGAUACGCGAGGAACCUUACCUGGGCUAGAAUGCUGGGAGACCGCUAGUGAAAGCUAGUUUUGUAGCAAUACACUGCCAGUAAGGUGCUGCAUGGCCGUCGUCAGCUCGUGCCGUGAGGUGUUGGGUUAAGUCCCGCAACGAGCGCAACCCCUAUCUUUAGUUGCCAACAGGUAAUGCUGGGAACUCUAAAGAAACUGCCGCCGUAAGGUGUGAGGAAGGAGGGGAUGAUGUCAGGUCAUCAUGGCCUUUAUGCCCAGGGCUACACACGUACUACAAUGGGGGAGACAAAGGGCUGCAACAUAGCGAUAUGAAGCCAAUCCCAAAAACUCCCUCUCAGUUCAGAUUGCAGGCUGCAACUCGCCUGCAUGAAGCUGGAAUCGCUAGUAAUCGUAUAUCAGCAAUGAUACGGUGAAUACGUUCCCGGACCUUGCACACACCGCCCGUCAAGCCAUGGGAGUCGGGUGUACCUAAAGUCGGUAACCGAAAGGAGCUGCCUAGGGUAAAAUCGAUGACUGGGGCUAAGUCGUAACAAGGUA
This 919-nucleotide ribosomal RNA is filed under the name uncultured bacterium. RNAcentral's name for it is "bacterial SSU rRNA". It matches the Rfam family "Bacterial small subunit ribosomal RNA", at positions 570 to 1498 of the family's 1533-position model. The record is from RNAcentral.